This 447-nucleotide ribosomal RNA is filed under the name uncultured bacterium. RNAcentral describes it as "bacterial SSU rRNA". It matches the Rfam family "Bacterial small subunit ribosomal RNA", at positions 328 to 793 of the family's 1533-position model. The record is from RNAcentral.
UACCCAGACUCCUACGGGAGGCAGCAGUAGGGAAUUUUGCGCAAUGGGCGAAAGCCUGACGCAGCAACGCCGCGUGAUCGAGACGCCCUUCGGGGUGUAAAGAUCUGUCAGUGGGGACGAAACUUGACGGUACCCACAGAGGAAGCACCGGCUAACUCCGUGCCAGCAGCCGCGGUAAUACGGAGGAUGCGAGCGUUAUCCGGAUUUAUUGGGUUUAAAGGGUGCGUAGGCGGGAUGCCAAGUCAGCGGUAAAAAUGCGGUGCUCAACGCCGUCGAGCCGUUGAAACUGGCGUUCUUGAGUGGGCGAGAAGUAUGCGGAAUGCGUGGUGUAGCGGUGAAAUGCAUAGAUAUCACGCAGAACUCCGAUUGCGAAGGCAGCAUACCGGCGCCCUACUGACGCUGAGGCACGAAAGCGUGGGUAUCGAACAGGAUUAGAUACCCCAGUAA